AGGGUAUAGCUCAGUGGUAGAGUGUGCACUUACCAUGCAUUAGGUCCUGGGUUCAAUCCCCAGUAACUCUA
RNAcentral lists this transfer RNA (71 nucleotides) under Camelus bactrianus (Bactrian camel). It matches the Rfam family "tRNA". From Rfam's summary of the family: Transfer RNA (tRNA) molecules are approximately 80 nucleotides in length. Their secondary structure includes four short double-helical elements and three loops (D, anti-codon, and T loops). Lineage: Eukaryota; Metazoa; Chordata; Mammalia; Artiodactyla; Camelidae. The record is from Rfam by way of RNAcentral. RNAcentral also lists the same sequence under 1 other name.